AGCAGCCGCGGUAAUUCCAGCUCCAAUAGCGUAUAUUAAAGUUGUUGCAGUUAAAAAGCUCGUAGUUGAAUUUCGGGAUUUGUCAGUUGGUCGGGCUUCACUGUUCGUACUGGCUUGAUGGAUUCUUACCUUCUGAAUAACCAGCAUGCUAUUAAGUUAGUGCGUUGGGGAAGCAGAUCUAUUACCUUGAAAAAUUAGAGUGCUUAAAGCGGGCUUGUGCUUGAAUAGAUUAGCAUGGAAUAAUAAAAUAGGACGGCAUGGUUCUAUUUUGUUGGUUUCUAGGAUCACCGUAAUGAUUAAUAGGGAUAGUUGGGGGCAUUAGUAUUCAAUUGUCAGAGGUGAAAUUCUUGGAUUUAUUGAAGACUAACUUCUGCGAAAGCAUUUGCCAAGGAUGUUUUCAUUAAUCAAGAACGAAAGUUAGGGGAUCGAAGACGAUCAGAUACCGUCGUA
Molecule: ribosomal RNA, 450 nt
Filed under: uncultured Glomeromycotina
Lineage: Eukaryota; Fungi; Glomeromycota
Description: SSU rRNA
Rfam family: Eukaryotic small subunit ribosomal RNA
Source: RNAcentral